UACUUAAAAUGGGUGUAGUAUGUUACAUGUAAAUUACAUCAUAAGACCUGAUUUUUCAUUUUAUUUUAUUUUAGUUUUGGAGACUGAGUCUCACUCUGUUGCCCAGGCUGCAGUGCAGUGGCGUGAUCUCAGCUCACUGCAAUCUCCGCCUCCCAGGCUCAAGCCAUUCUUGUGUCUCAGCCUCCUGAGUAGCUGGGACUACAGGCGUGCACCACCAUGCCCGGCUAAUUUUUUGUAUUUUAGUAGAGACGGGGUUUCACCAUGUUGCCCAGGGUGGUCUUGAACUCCUGAGCUCAGGCAAUCCACCCGCCUCAGCCUCCCAAAGUGCUGGGAUUACAGGCAUGAGCCACUAUGCCCAGCCAAGACCUGAUUUUUCAAAAACUGUCAUGAACAUUGUCAAGAAGAAAUACAGGAUGCACUGGGAGAUGAACUAGAUCUUCAAUUGUGCACAACAGAUCCCUCCAAAAGGACACGUUGUUUUUACAACAGUGUAGCACGGUGAGAUGGUCUCUCCUCUCCAGGAACAGAAGUUUUGAAACCCAUCAUACAUCCAGCAAAAAUUCCAGUACCUUGGAGCAAAGAAUUGUGUUCCAGAGAUCCAAAGACCAAUCGUUCGGUAACCAUGCACCAGCCAGGUCCAGUGGAACAAAUGCCAUAAUUAGGCCUCAGAAGAGAGGCCAGAGAUUGACUGUGAGGUCCCUCCAGUCAUGCCUCCAGGCCUUACUAGACUGGGACGCUCACACUGUCGCUCUCUGCUUUGUAGCUGUUUGUGCAAGAACAAAAGGACUUCAGUCUCCCUUGCUAUUAAUCCAACUUCACAAGCAUGAAAUUUACAGACACACACAAGAAUUCAUCAUUGAAACCUUUUCCCCUUGUCAUGUUCAGCUGCUGAAAAGUGGGCACACUCUUGGAAAUGAAUGUUAAUAAAAAA
This 931-nucleotide long non-coding RNA is filed under the name Homo sapiens (human). RNAcentral's name for it is "HSALNT0008088". Lineage: Eukaryota; Metazoa; Chordata; Mammalia; Primates; Hominidae. The record is from RNAcentral.